Molecule: long non-coding RNA, 276 nt
Filed under: Physcomitrium patens
Lineage: Eukaryota; Viridiplantae; Streptophyta; Bryopsida; Funariales; Funariaceae
Description: long non-coding RNA (PPAT_LNC009786)
Source: RNAcentral
UAAAUCUUUAAAGUAUAAUUUUUUUAUAUAUAUAUCUUAUUUCCAUGUUACAACAUAACAACUAUAUAUCUAUUAUCUAAUAUGACUAAAAUAGAAAUAUAUGAAAUAAAAGAUGGAUAUUUAUAGAUUCUAAUAGGUGUAACCAAUAUGCAAUUGAAUUGAUCUAUUUACAAAUAAGAAAUGAUCUAAGUCUAUAAUCAUUAAAUUUAUUACUAGGACAAAUAGUCUUGAUAUUACAAUGGAGUAAUCAUAGCUGAUUGCCUGCAUAAAAUCAAA